This 297-nucleotide long non-coding RNA is filed under the name Zostera marina. RNAcentral's name for it is "long non-coding RNA (ZMAR_LNC002882)". The record is from RNAcentral. Lineage: Eukaryota; Viridiplantae; Streptophyta; Magnoliopsida; Alismatales; Zosteraceae.
CAGUAAAUACAUUUUUCCUGUAAAUUGAAUGCAAAAUCUUGUAAAAUCAUUGCAAAUUCCUGUAAAUUCAUUCAAUUAUUAUUAAUUCCUGUAAAUUCAUUCAAUAUUCAACAAAUAUUCAAUACAAAAACAACAUUCAACAAAUACAACAAAGACAUGGUAGUUUUAAUCCAGGCUCCAUCUUGUGGUUUGAAUAGAUUUCAGCAAAAUCUAAAAAACUUUUCAAUCCACUUUGAAAUUUCAUCGAGAUUGAACUUUCAAACAACCAUAAUUUGUCAAGCCCUUCUAUUUGAUCAG